This 321-nucleotide long non-coding RNA is filed under the name Homo sapiens (human). Its description in RNAcentral is "non-protein coding lnc-LPIN1-10:5". The record is from RNAcentral. Lineage: Eukaryota; Metazoa; Chordata; Mammalia; Primates; Hominidae.
AAGAAAAGGGGGACAUAAGAACCAAUGUCUGUUAUUAAGGACUAUCAAGCACUUUGAGCCCUCGAGGUGGAGGUUGCAGUGAGCCAGGAUUGCACACUAUACUCCAGCCUGGGUGACAGAGUGAGACCCUGUCUCCAAAAAAUAAAAAAAAAAGAGCUCAUGGUUUGAAGGGGAGCUAGGGAAGUAGUAGUGAUAGUAUUAUUGGGAAUACACUUGAGGGUAGGAUGAGGGAAGGAUGGCAAUAGAUGCAAAGGGAUUCCAUGCAGAAGAGACAAUUGGAGUCAGGAAAAGCACAACAAAGUGUAGGUUGGAUGGUAGUGG